This 1026-nucleotide ribosomal RNA is filed under the name Nesterenkonia sp. HZDC48. RNAcentral's name for it is "bacterial SSU rRNA". It matches the Rfam family "Bacterial small subunit ribosomal RNA", at positions 375 to 1409 of the family's 1533-position model. Lineage: Bacteria; Bacillati; Actinomycetota; Actinomycetes; Micrococcales; Micrococcaceae. The record is from RNAcentral.
GCGCAAGCCUGAUGCAGCGACGCCGCGUGUGGGAUGACGGCCUUCGGGUUGUAAACCACUUUCAGCAGGGAAGAAGCUUUUUGUGACGGUACCUGCAGAAGAAGCGCCGGCUAACUACGUGCCAGCAGCCGCGGUAAUACGUAGGGCGCGAGCGUUAUCCGGAAUUAUUGGGCGUAAAGAGCUCGUAGGCGGUUUGUCACGUCUGCUGUGAAAGCCCGGGGCUUAACCCCGGGUGUGCAGUGGGUACGGGCAGACUGGAGUGCAGUAGGGGAGACUGGAAUUCCUGGUGUAGCGGUGAAAUGCGCAGAUAUCAGGAGGAACACCGAUGGCGAAGGCAGGUCUCUGGGCUGUUACUGACGCUGAGGAGCGAAAGCAUGGGGAGCGAACAGGAUUAGAUACCCUGGUAGUCCAUGCCGUAAACGUUGGGCACUAGGUGUGGGGAACAUUCCACGUUUUCCGCGCCGUAGCUAACGCAUUAAGUGCCCCGCCUGGGGAGUACGGCCGCAAGGCUAAAACUCAAAGGAAUUGACGGGGGCCCGCACAAGCGGCGGAGCAUGCGGAUUAAUUCGAUGCAACGCGAAGAACCUUACCAAGGCUUGACAUACACCGGACCGCCCUAGAGAUAGGGUUUCCCUUCGGGGCUGGUGUACAGGUGGUGCAUGGUUGUCGUCAGCUCGUGUCGUGAGAUGUUGGGUUAAGUCCCGCAACGAGCGCAACCCUUAUCCUAUGUUGCCAGCACGUGAUGGUGGGGACUCAUGGGAGACUGCCGGGGUCAACUCGGAGGAAGGUGGGGAUGACGUCAAAUCAUCAUGCCCCUUAUGUCUUGGGCUUCACGCAUGCUACAAUGGCCGGUACAGUGGGUUGCGAUACUGUGAGGUGGAGCUAAUCCCUAAAAGCCGGUCUCAGUUCGGAUCGAAGUCUGCAACUCGACUUUCGUGAAGUUGGAGUCGCUAGUAAUCGCAGAUCAGCAAUGCUGCGGUGAAUACGUUCCCGAGCCUUGUACACACCGCCCGUCAAGUCACGAAA